This 372-nucleotide ribosomal RNA is filed under the name uncultured Idiomarina sp. RNAcentral's name for it is "bacterial SSU rRNA". It matches the Rfam family "Bacterial small subunit ribosomal RNA", at positions 705 to 1075 of the family's 1533-position model. Lineage: Bacteria; Pseudomonadati; Pseudomonadota; Gammaproteobacteria; Alteromonadales; Idiomarinaceae. The record is from RNAcentral.
AAUACCGGUGGCGAAGGCGGCCACCUGGUCAGAAACUGACGCUGAGGUACGAAAGCGUGGGGAGCAAACAGGAUUAGAUACCCUGGUAGUCCACGCCGUAAACGAUGUCAACUAGUUGUUCGUCUUAUAAACAAGGUGAGUAACGCAGCUAACGCACUAAGUUGACCGCCNGGGGAGUACGGCCGCAAGGNNNNAACUCAAAUGAAUUGACGGGGGCCCGCACAAGCGGUGGAGCAUGUGGUUUAAUUCGAUGCAACGCGAAGAACCUUACCAUCCCUUGACAUCCAGUGAACUUUCUAGAGAUAGAUUGGUGCCUUCGGGAACACUGAGACAGGUGCUGCAUGGCUGUCGUCAGCUCGUGUUGUGAGAUGU